This 1015-nucleotide ribosomal RNA is filed under the name Halocercus invaginatus. Its description in RNAcentral is "partial large subunit ribosomal RNA". The record is from RNAcentral. Lineage: Eukaryota; Metazoa; Nematoda; Chromadorea; Rhabditida; Pseudaliidae.
UGGCUCCAGUGACCGGGUCGGUUGGCCUGUUAAUUGAUACUGGUGCGGUUUAUGAUCCGUGGCCGGCAGAUGUGCGUCGUGCGUGCGUGUUGAGAAACUCGCACGUUGACGACGUGCUGACGUUGGACUAGUGAUAAGACCAACUUGUGGACGUUUACAGGUGUGUGCUUUGUUUUCGGACAUAGUAUCCUGAUCGACCAUCAAAACGGUCGAACUGGAACUGGUACGGACUCGGGGAAUCCGACUGUCUAAUUAAAACAGAGGAGACAGAUGGUCCUUGCGGACGUUUACUGUCUCUGAUUUCUGCCCAGUGCUCUGAAUGUUAAAUCGUAGUAAUUCGAGUAAGCGCGGGUAAACGGCGGGAGUAACUAUGACUCUCUUAAGGUAGCCAAAUGCCUCGUCAGCURACUACUGACGCGCAUGAAUGGAUUAACGAGAUUCCCACUGUCCCUAACUACUAUCUAGCGAAACCACAGCCAAGGGAACGGGCUUGGYAAAAAUAGCGGGGAAAGAAGACCCUGUUGAGCUUGACUCUAGUUUGACAUUGUGAAGAAUCAUGAGAGGUGUAGCAUAGKUGGGAGAUCUUCACAUUCACAUGUGUUGGUCACCAAUGAAAUACCACCACUUUCAUCGAUUCUUUACUUAUUCGGUGAGAAGAGGAUUGAGUUUCUUUGCUCUUUUUUAUUUGUAUUAAGUACAAUCACCUGGUGAUUAUACGACUCUCGCCGAAGACAGUGUCAGGCGGGGAGUUUGACUGGGGCGGUACAUCUGUCAAACUGUAACGCAGGUGUCCUAAGGCUAGCUCAGAGAGGACGGAAACCUCUCGUAGAGCAAAAGGGCAAAAGCUCGCUUGAUCUUGACUUYCAGUACGAGUACAGACCGCGAAAGCGUGGCCUAUCGAUCCUUUUAAUCCAGAUAGUUUCUGGUAAGAGGUGUCAGAAAAGUUACCACAGGGAUAACUGGCUUGUGGCAGCCAAGCGUCCAUAGCGACGUUGCUUUUUGAUCCUUCGAUGUC